Long non-coding RNA from Solanum stenotomum, 266 nucleotides. RefSeq lists it as uncharacterized. NCBI's taxonomy places the organism in Eukaryota, Viridiplantae, Streptophyta, Magnoliopsida, Solanales, Solanaceae. The record is from RefSeq and is a predicted model, not a curated record. The transcript has 2 exons.
CUUAAAUUCAAGUAAUACAAAGAAGAGAGAAGAUAAAGGAGCACAAGAAUAGAAUCCAAUAAUAAAGGAACGAAUCAAAGUUCACUAACUAGAAAUAUCCCGAAUUACCAUAGUUAUAGAUGCCUAAUUGGAAAAGUUAGUGGGUUUUUUUAUUGGUUCAGUGUGAUCUUGGUCUUCUAAAGAUUCUUUACCAUUCUGAAUUAGAUAUUUAGUUGGGUGUAUAGGACUUUCAGUAUAAUGAAUUAUCAAGGACAAAUGAACCAUUU